UUACUUACCUGGACGGGGUCUAUGGUUGAUCAAUAAGGAUCAUGGCCUAGGUUGGUGACCUCCAUUGCACACAGGAGGGGCACUAGUCUAACAUCUCCCCAAGUGGGAGAGUGUACGUCAUAAUUUGUUGCUUUGGGGGUACGCGUUCGCGCGGCCCCUG
RNAcentral lists this small nuclear RNA (160 nucleotides) under Zostera marina. Its description in RNAcentral is "U1 spliceosomal RNA". It matches the Rfam family "U1 spliceosomal RNA". From Rfam's summary of the family: U1 is a small nuclear RNA (snRNA) component of the spliceosome (involved in pre-mRNA splicing). The record is from Rfam by way of RNAcentral. Lineage: Eukaryota; Viridiplantae; Streptophyta; Magnoliopsida; Alismatales; Zosteraceae.